AGCGAACGCUGGCGGCAGGCCUAACACAUGCAAGUCGAGCGCCCAGCAAUGGGAGCGGCAGACGGGUGAGUAACGCGUGGGGAUGUGCCCAAUGGUGCGGAGUAACCCAGGGAAACUUGGAUUAAUACCGCAUGUGCCCUUCGGGGGAAAGAUUUAUCGCCAUUGGAUCAACCCGCGUCUGAUUAGCUAGUUGGUGAGGUAAAGGCUCACCAAGGCGACGAUCAGUAGCUGGUCUGAGAGGAUGAUCAGCCACACUGGGACUGAGACACGGCCCAGACUCCUACGGGGGGCAGCAGUGGGGAAUAUUGGACAAUGGGCGCAAGCCUGAUCCAGCCAUGCCGCGUGAGUGAUGAAGGCCUUAGGGUUGUAAAGCUCUUUCGCCGGUGAAGAUAAUGACGGUAACCGGAGAAGAAGCCCCGGCUAACUUCGUGCCAGCAGCCGCAGUAA
RNAcentral lists this ribosomal RNA (447 nucleotides) under uncultured bacterium. RNAcentral describes it as "partial 16S ribosomal RNA". It matches the Rfam family "Bacterial small subunit ribosomal RNA", at positions 29 to 523 of the family's 1533-position model. The record is from RNAcentral.